RNAcentral lists this unclassified non-coding RNA (44 nucleotides) under Cactus witches'-broom phytoplasma. Its description in RNAcentral is "partial 16S-23S ribosomal RNA intergenic spacer". Lineage: Bacteria; Bacillati; Mycoplasmatota; Mollicutes; Acholeplasmatales; Acholeplasmataceae. The record is from RNAcentral.
CUAAGGAAACCAAUAAAAUCAAUCAUCUUCAGUUUUGACAGACC